Thalassophryne amazonica is the source of this 100-nucleotide long non-coding RNA. RefSeq lists it as uncharacterized. Lineage: Eukaryota; Metazoa; Chordata; Actinopteri; Batrachoidiformes; Batrachoididae. The transcript is spliced from 3 exons. The record is from RefSeq and is a predicted model, not a curated record.
GCAUGAUUGACACAAUGAGACAAAUGCUUCAGGAGACGGGUCAAUAUUUCAAAACACUAAUUGAAACACUUACUUCAUAACACAAAUCAAUUUUUCAAAA